Dermochelys coriacea (leatherback sea turtle) is the source of this 351-nucleotide long non-coding RNA. RefSeq lists it as uncharacterized. The record is from RefSeq and is a predicted model, not a curated record. The transcript has 3 exons. NCBI's taxonomy places the organism in Eukaryota, Metazoa, Chordata, Testudines, Dermochelyidae.
CCUAUGAUGGUGUCACCAAUCUGUGACUGCUAGCAGCAAAUAUCUCCAAUAGCCGGUGAUGGGACCCUGGAUGGGGAGGGCUCUGAGUUACUACAGAGAAUUCCUUCCCAGGUGUAUGGCUGGUGGGUCUCGCCUACAUGCACAGGGUCUAACUGAUCGCCAUAUUCAGAGUCGGGAAGAAAUUUCCCCCUCGGUGAGAUUGGCAGACACUCCGGGGGAAGAAAGUGUUUCGCCUUCCGCUGCAGCAUGGGGCAAAGGUCACUUGCAGGUUUAAACUAGCGUAAAUGGUAGAUUCUCUGUAACUUGAAGUCUUUAAGUCAUGAUUUGAGGACUUCAGUAACUCAGCCAGAG